AACGAACGCUGGCGGCAGGCCUAACACAUGCAAGUCGAGCGAGGACUUCGGUUCUAGCGGCGGACGGGUGAGUAACGCGUGGGAAUGUGCCCUUCUCUACGGAAUAGCCCUGGGAAACUGGGAGUAAUACCGUAUACGCCCUAUUGGGGAAAGAUUUAUCGGAGAAGGAUCAGCCCGCGUUGGAUUAGGUAGUUGGUGGGGUAAUGGCCUACCAAGCCGACGAUCCAUAGCUGUUUUGAGAGGAUGAUCAGCCACACUGGGACUGAGACACGGCCCAGACUCCUACGGGAGGCAGCAGUGGGGAAUCUUAGACAAUGGGGGCAACCCUGAUCGAGCCAUGCCGCGUGAGUGAUGAAGGCCUUAGGGUUGUAAAGCUCUUUCAGCUGGGAAGAUAAUGACGGUACCAGCAGAAGAAGCCCCGGCUAACUCCGUG
Molecule: ribosomal RNA, 433 nt
Filed under: uncultured bacterium
Lineage: Bacteria
Description: partial 16S ribosomal RNA
Rfam family: Bacterial small subunit ribosomal RNA
Source: RNAcentral